This 463-nucleotide ribosomal RNA is filed under the name uncultured bacterium. RNAcentral's name for it is "partial 16S ribosomal RNA". It matches the Rfam family "Bacterial small subunit ribosomal RNA", at positions 28 to 507 of the family's 1533-position model. The record is from RNAcentral.
GACGAACGCUGGCGGCGUGCUUAACACAUGCAAGUCGAACGGAAAGGCCUUUUCGGAGGUACUCGAGUGGCGAACGGGUGAGUAACACGUGGGUGAUCUGCCCUGCACUCUGGGAUAAGCCUGGGAAACUGGGUCUAAUACCGGAUAGGACCGCACUUUAGUGUGUGUGGUGGAAAGUUGUUUCGGUGUAGGAUGAGCCCGCGGCCUAUCAGCUUGUUGGUGGGGUAAUGGCCUACCAAGGCGGCGGCGGGGAGCCGGACUGAGAGGGUGGUCGGCCACAGUGGGACUGGGAAACGGCCCAGACUCCUACGGGAGGCAGCAGUGGGGAAUAUUGCACAAUGGGCGCAAGCCGGAUGCAGCGACGCCGAGGGGGGGAUGACGGCCUUCGGGUUGUAAACGCCUUUCGCCAGGGACGAAGCGUUUUGUGACGGUACCUGGAGAAGAAGCACCGGCUAACUACGUG